This 2297-nucleotide unclassified non-coding RNA is filed under the name Hevea brasiliensis (rubber tree). The record is from RNAcentral. Lineage: Eukaryota; Viridiplantae; Streptophyta; Magnoliopsida; Malpighiales; Euphorbiaceae.
GGUAAUUCUAAGCUGUCGGUCAUGAGUGAGUUAACAACACAAUACACUCCUUAUCUUCCUUAAAUCACUCUGCUUCAUCUUUCAUCUUAUAAAUAUCAAACAAAAUCAAGAUUCUCAAACCCAAGAUCUUUCGGAUGCUCCUUUUUGCCAAAUUAGAAAUGGCCUUCUACCACUAAUUUGCUGAAGCAACUUUCUUUUCUUAUAUACCCAAUCUUAUAAAGGGACAGGAAAGAUCCAAUAUUAUGGCUGGGGAAAGUUACUCCCAUUCUGGUGGGAGAAAAUCAUCUGAUUUCUGUUCAAAACUCACUGUUGUGACUUUUCUCGGAAUUUCUUGCAUUGGGAUAUGGAUGUUGAUAUCAUCAUCAUUCAGUAUAACUCUUCAAAAUUCAGAGAUAUCUUCCACGAAUAUUUUGGGGCAGUAUUCAGGCAGUUCUGCUGAUUUUCUAGUCAAUGCAAAGAGAGGAGAAGAUGAAACAUUCCAGGGAGAGAAACGGUUCAGAAGGGGAAGGUAUUUGGAGGAGAUUGGAGAUGAAAAGGGGCUGGAUAGUUACCAAAAUGAGGAAAGGGAAGGAGAAAGCUCUAAUUUAAGAAAUGAAGAAGAAAAUCAAGAAAAUUCUGAAUCCAGUCCAUCCGGUGAUGAAUCUCAGUCUGGCGAUGAGAGUUCAAAUCGAGAGAGUGAGGAAGUAGAUUCGAGAGAGAAAGACUCAACUUCAGGCGAUGGUGAGUCAGAUACUGGAGGUGAAGACUCAAAUUUAGAUGCUUCUGAGACAACAGAGAAAGCAAAGAAAGGAGAGACGGAGAAUGAAGUUUUUCCAGCUGCUGAUCAAUCAGAGAUUUUGAAGGAAGCUACAACACAAAAUGGGCCAUGGUCAACUCAGGCUGCUGAGUCUGAAAAGGAGAAUGAGUCACAGGGUUCUUCAUCAUCAACGGAUGACAAGAAAGGCGAUAAGUGGAAGCUAUGCAAAACUGAUGCUGGACCAGAUUAUAUUCCCUGUCUAGAUAAUGUGCAAGCUAUAAGGAAGCUCCAACACACUAGCCACUAUGAGCAUCGUGAAAGGCAUUGCCCUGUUGAAGCUUCAACUUGCCUGGUUCCUCUGCCUUCAGGAUACAAGAAGUCAAUUGGAUGGCCUAGGAGCAGGGAUCAGAUAUGGUACUCUAAUGUUCCUCAUGGAAAGCUAGCCGAGGUCAAGGGGCACCAGAACUGGGUCAAAGUAACUGGAGAGUACCUUACUUUCCCCGGUGGAGGUACUCAGUUUAAGCAAGGUGCUCUUCAUUACAUUGAUUUCCUCCAAAAGACCCUGCCUCAAAUUUCAUGGGGCAAACAAACACGUGUUAUUUUGGAUGUUGGUUGUGGAGUGGCCAGCUUUGGAGGAUAUCUCUUUGAAAGAGAUGUACUAGCAAUGUCACUUGCCCCCAAGGAUGAGCACGAAGCCCAAGUGCAAUUUGCACUUGAAAGGGGUAUUCCUGCUAUAUCAGCUGUUAUGGGAACUAAAAGACUACCUUUCCCUGGCAAAGUGUUUGAUGCUGUCCAUUGUGCACGGUGUAGAGUUCCAUGGCAUAUUGAAGGUGGCAAACUUCUCCUAGAAUUGAAUCGUGUCUUGCGGCCUGGUGGUCACUUCAUUUGGUCUGCAACACCAGUAUAUCGGAAGGAUGAGGAAAAUGUUGGAAUUUGGGAAGCUAUGUCUGAACUAACUAAGUCAAUGUGCUGGGAACUAUUGGAAAUUAAUGAAGAUAAACUAAAUGAAGUAGGUGUAGCUAUAUUCAGAAAGCCAACUACAAAUGAUUGCUACCAGAGUAGAACACAAAAUGACCCACCUAUGUGUGAAGAAGCUGAUGAUCCAGAUGCUGCCUGGAAUAUAACACUUCAGGCAUGUUUGCACAAAGCUCCAGCAGAUGCAUCUGCACGAGGAGCAAAGUGGCCAGCAAAAUGGCCUUUGAGGUCGGAGAAGCUUCCUUAUUGGUUGAAAAGUUCUCAAGUUGGAGUUUAUGGAAAAGCAGCCCCAGAAGACUUCGCUGCAGACUAUGAUCAUUGGAAAAAUGUUGUGUCAAAAUCAUAUUUAAAUGAUCUUGGCAUUAAUUGGUCUUCAGUAAGGAAUGUCAUGGACAUGAAAGCUAUUUAUGGAGGAUUUGCUGCAGCACUGAAAGACUUGAAAGUCUGGGUUAUGAAUGUAGUUCCGAUUGACUCACCUGACACACUUCCAAUUAUAUAUGACCGUGGCUUGUUUGGCAUUUACCACGACUGGUGUGAGUCCUUCAGCACAUACCCAAGAUCCUAUGAUCUUCUUCAUGCAGAUCAU